GACAGAGGGUGCAAACGUUGUUCGGAUUUACUGGGCGUAAAGCGUGUGUAGGCGGCUUUGCAAGUCGGAUGUGAAAUCCCACGGCUCAACCGUGGAAGUGCAUCCGAAACGGCAUCGCUUGAGUCUCGGAGAGGAAGGUGGAAUGCUUGGUGUAGAGGUGAAAUUCGUAGAUAUCAAGCAGAACACCUGCGGCGAAGGCGGCGUUCUGGACUGCAACUGACACUGAAAAACGAAAGCCAGGGGAGCAGACGGG
Molecule: ribosomal RNA, 253 nt
Filed under: uncultured bacterium
Lineage: Bacteria
Description: partial 16S ribosomal RNA
Rfam family: Bacterial small subunit ribosomal RNA
Source: RNAcentral